RNAcentral lists this unclassified non-coding RNA (401 nucleotides) under soil metagenome. RNAcentral's name for it is "partial contains 5.8S ribosomal RNA, internal transcribed spacer 2, and large subunit ribosomal RNA". The stretch from base 1 to 121 matches the Rfam family "5.8S ribosomal RNA", at positions 35 to 154 of the family's 154-position model. The record is from RNAcentral.
GAUGAAGAACGUAGCGAAAUGCGAUAAGUAAUGUGAAUUGCAGAAUUCAGUGAAUCAUCGAAUCUUUGAACGCACCUUGCGCCCUUUGGCCAUUCCGAAGGGCAUGCCUGUUUGAGUAUCAUGAACACCUCAACUCUCAUGGCUCGCCAUGAUGAGCUUGGAUUUGGGGGUCUUGCUGGCCUGUGGUCGGCUCCUCUCAAAUGGAUCAGCUUGCCAGUGUUUGGUGGCAUCACAGGUGUGAUAACUAUCUGCGCUUGUGGUUUUCCAUCAGAUAACCUUCAGUGAUGGAGGUUCGCUGGAGCUCAUAAACGUCUCCCCUAAGCGGGGACAGCCCUUUGAAUGUUUGAUCUCAAAUCAGGUAGGACUACCCGCUGAACUUAAGCAUAACAAUAAGCGGAGGA